UGGCAAUUUUAGAGUCUGCAAAAGAUACAGGAAAGUACAAAGAAUUCAGGGCAUUUUGCAGCAGUAUGGCUGGAGAGAAAGACACACAGCCGGUGGGGAGCUGAGUGAAACAGCUGGGACAUGGUCCCAGUGGACUGCUGCGUGCUAAACCUGUCUAAUGUAUGAACUGAAACUAAAUCAGAAUGCAUGUGUGUAUUUAAACACGCACAACUGGCACCCAAGACUAAAAUUUUAGUGAUUAUAUAUUUUAAAUUAGAUCUUGAUCUUAAAAACUGCCUCUGUUUCCCUGCAGGAAGCAAGCAAGCCAAAAUGUUUUUAAAUCUAUUUCUGAGUUUGUACUGAGGCUUUUCUACUUCAACAAAUUCCAGCAAGACAGUUUGCCAGGAGUUUUUUCUUGGUCCAUCUACUUAACCACUAGUUAGGCAUUACAAACAAAAAGUAAAAAUCCAACAAGUUGAUUACCUUGCAGAACCCCUCAGUAGUAGCUCUUCACCUCUGCUCCCCUAAACCAAGAUGUGAUCAGACAGAAAGCCAGAGCUGCUUGAAGGUGAUGCUUAUAGAAACUGCGUGUUUGUGUAGAAAUUAGGUAACGCUGGCUCAGGGGAGGCGGGAGAACUGUGGGAGGGGAGAGAGGCGGGGACAGAGGGAAGAAGGAAGGGGGGGAGAAGCUUCCAGGCAUUUUUGUUUUGGGCAGGGUGAGCGCUUUAUCCUUUCUUGGACUUCCACCCGCAGGUCAGCCUGGAUACUGCAGCUGAAGUGUGACCUGCACUUUGUGGCAAAACUAGCCAGAGCAGCAGGUAAGUCCUAUAUUUCCAGCAGAAGGCAAGGAGAACUCUGGAUUUACUUUGGCAAGGGCCCCCAGAGUCAGGGACAGCUGAUGAGAGGGCCCAUAUCUGAGACACAGCCAUUUCAGCAAAGGAGAAAAGUGCAGCCCCUGGCUCUGUAUCCCUCACAUCUGGAUUCAUCUUCUCAUGGGCAUAACAUGACGUACUCAUGAUUACUUUAGCCAGGUGGGUUUCAGAAGACAGAAAAAAGCUGGAGGAGCUCACCAUUUACAGAUGUGGAAACCAUUUCUAUAACUGACAGUGUGCUUUGGCCAUUUCUUAUUAAUGUCUUUUGAUAAUCUCCUUCACAAAUCAAGCAAAC
Molecule: long non-coding RNA, 1146 nt
Filed under: Corvus moneduloides (New Caledonian crow)
Lineage: Eukaryota; Metazoa; Chordata; Aves; Passeriformes; Corvidae
Description: lncRNA (ENSCMUG00000017311.1)
Source: RNAcentral